GGCAGGUUAAGAUCUGCCUCUGACUGAGCAAACAAUUUCAGCCCCAAACCUUCUCUCUUCAUUCACCUGCCAUAUUGCCACAUUGCUCAUCGGCCCUUAUCUUCCUGUGGAGAGAUACUACAUACGGCAUUGCUACAGUUCUAAUUAGUGCCUGCUCCUAGAAGAUUGCGUUUUAAGGAGCUAGGCUCAGGCAUGCUCAGUGUGUCCUGGAAGAACCGAAAGGAGAGUUUGACAGCUACAGAUUCAUCUACAGCUCUGGCUCGGAUCAUGUUCAUCAUCAUACAUGAGUGGUGGUAGUUAUCAUAUAUGAUCAAUGGACAUGGAAAUAAUGGAACGCAAAUUUGGGGGAUUAUAUGACUAUAUCGACAAGGUUGUAUAUACGACAUACUAUACUAUAUGGUUAAAAGUUUGACACUUGACCUUCACACCAAUAUGUGGUUCUUCCUCAAACUAUUGCCACAAAGUUGUUGCGCACACACGUAUACAGUAGAAUGUCUUCGUAUGCCGGAGCUUUAUAGUUUUCCUCCACUGGAACUAAGAGACCGGAACCUGUUCCAACACGACGACGCCCCUGUGCACAAGGCGAGCUCCAUGAAGACAUGGUGUGUUAGGUUUGGAGUGGAAGAA
Ictalurus punctatus (channel catfish) is the source of this 627-nucleotide long non-coding RNA. Lineage: Eukaryota; Metazoa; Chordata; Actinopteri; Siluriformes; Ictaluridae. The record is from Ensembl.